Molecule: long non-coding RNA, 1230 nt
Filed under: Capra hircus (goat)
Lineage: Eukaryota; Metazoa; Chordata; Mammalia; Artiodactyla; Bovidae
Description: lncRNA (ENSCHIG00010014697.1)
Source: RNAcentral
UUGGACACGACUGAGCAACUGAACUGAACCAGCCAGAUACAUAGAAAUUAAGUAGAAAUUUAUAACCUUAGUCCAUGUAACAAAUGAUAUUAAUGUGAACUUUGUCCAUAUCACUGAGAGUAAGAACAAGAGGCAGGUUCAAACAUAUUGCUCAGGUAGACAUGGUAAGUCCCCACCAUAAAUUGAGAGUAGGUCAUGGGAGAGAAUAGUUAGAAAUGGCCCCUAUGUUUUAUAAGGGAGAACCAGGUUUUAGGGAGAAAGAUAAUGAAUAUAUUGGGAUGAAAGAGAUGUUCAGCUGAUGCUUACACAGGCAAAUUCUGAGUAUUUGUCAUCAGCUAUGUCAAAAGAAGCAGACUCUGAGCAGGAUAAAGUAAGACAGGAGGCUCUUUGUAGUCCGAAGAGGAUGCAAAGAGUUUGGAAAAACUAAGCAAAUCAAAGGAAAUAAUUAGUUUUUUUUAAUGACCACCUUAAGUACUUUAAGAUAAAAUUGAGUAAAAGAUGGUCAUUCAUUCCUAUUAAGUUCACUUAUUGAUUCUGGCACAUCAUUCCAGUCUACUGAGUUCAUUUUUUCACUAGCAGUCAUUGCGUAGAAACAUUGCUCAGUUUUUCCAAUUGUAUUCUUUUGUAUAUUUGGCCUCAAAAAGUUAUUUAAGGCAUAAAAUUAUUGAAUACAACAGAAAGCUAAUCAUUUUCCUGAGAAAUCAAGCAAUAUUGUAAAAAUUGUGUAGUGGACACUGUGGCACACCACCCGUGUCUGCGUUCAGGAUCAGCACUUAUUUCCAGAGGUUGCGUGUUGACUACUCACAACUCAUAGCUGACUCCUUCCCUAAAAACGGCCUUGGCCUUGCCUGUUAGACCUCCCUCAGCUGUGUCUGUUGACUCACUGAAGUAACCCCCCUUUCUUUCAAUUCUGGUCAAUAGAAGAACCAUCCUAGCUCUGUAGCCUCUGAUGGGAUCAACUGACGCCUCUGUUGCAACUACAUCAUAGUUGGACUUCUCUGCAGCCUUCACUCUCUCAUAGGUUUAUUCUUGCAGGGAUUCUAAAGCCACCUACAAACAAAUCUCCAUCGUAAUGUCUAUAUCCCCAAGGAACCCAACCUAAGAUGAAUUUCAAAUCAAAAUCUUAGUCGGUAUUUUCUGACUUGACAGAACCAUUUUAGACAUCAUUUAGACUAUCAGGAUCCUUUAUACAUUUGAAAAAGAAGAUUAAUGAGGAUGACUGCUUUUAAG